AAGACAGAGAAGCCAGGUCACGUCUCUGCAGUUACACAGCUCACGAGUGCCUGCUGGGGUGGAACCUGGUCUGUCUGUCU
This is a microRNA precursor of Piliocolobus tephrosceles (Ugandan red Colobus), 80 nucleotides long. The record is from Ensembl. Lineage: Eukaryota; Metazoa; Chordata; Mammalia; Primates; Cercopithecidae.